This 497-nucleotide ribosomal RNA is filed under the name uncultured bacterium. RNAcentral describes it as "partial 16S ribosomal RNA". It matches the Rfam family "Bacterial small subunit ribosomal RNA", at positions 28 to 507 of the family's 1533-position model. The record is from RNAcentral.
GAUGAACGCUGGCGGCGUGCCUAAUACAUGCAAGUCGAGCGAACAGACGAGGAGCUUGCUCCUCUGACGUUAGCGGCGGACGGGUGAGUAACACGUGGAUAACCUACCUAUAAGACUGGGAUAACUUCGGGAAACCGGAGCUAAUACCGGAUAAUAUUUUGAACCGCAUGGUUCUAAAGUGAAAGAUGGUUUUGCUGUCACUUAUAGAUGGAUCCGCGCCGCAUUAGCUAGUUGGUAAGGUAACGGCUUACCAAGGCAACGAUACGUAGCCGACCUGAGAGGGUGAUCGGCCACACUGGAACUGAGACACGGUCCAGACUCCUACGGGAGGCAGCAGUAGGGAAUCUUCCGCAAUGGGCGAAAGCCUGACGGAGCAACGCCGCGUGAGUGAUGAAGGUCUUCGGAUCGUAAAACUCUGUUAUUAGGGAAGAACAAAUGUGUAAGUAACUGUGCACGUCUUGACGGUACCUAAUCAGAAAGCCGCGGCUAACUACGUG